UGGGGAAUCUUGCACAAUGGGCGAAAGCCUGAUGCAGCAACGCCGCGUGAGUGAAGAAGGCUCUUGGGUCGUAAAGCUCUUUCGGUUGGGAAGAAGGGAGAUCAGGUUAAGAGCUAGGUCUUUUGACGGUACCAGCAUAAGAAGCACUGGCUAAUUCCGUGCCAGCAGCCGCGGUAAUACGGAAGGUGCAAGCGUUGUUCGGAAUGACUGGGCGUAAAGCGCGCGUAGGCGGGCUGAUAAGUCGGAUGUGAAAGCCCCGAGCUUAACUCGGGAAUUGCAUCCGAAACUAUCGAUCUUGAAUACCUGAGGGGUUAGUGGAAUUCCAGGUGUAGGAGUGAAAUCCGUAGAUAUCUGGAGGAACAUCAGAGGCGAAGGCGACUAACUGGCAGAGUAUUGACGCUGAGGUGCGAAAGCGUGGGGAGCAAACAGG
RNAcentral lists this ribosomal RNA (430 nucleotides) under uncultured bacterium. Its description in RNAcentral is "bacterial SSU rRNA". It matches the Rfam family "Bacterial small subunit ribosomal RNA", at positions 355 to 776 of the family's 1533-position model. The record is from RNAcentral.